ACUCCUACGGGAGGCAGCAGUAAGGAAUAUUGGGCAAUGGACGCAAGUCUGACCCAGCCAUGCCGCGUGCAGGAUGACGGCCCUACGGGUUGUAAACUGCUUUUGUACGGGAAAAAACCCUCACUCGUGAGUGGGGCUGAUGGUACCGUAAGAAUAAGGAUCAGCUAACUCCGUGCCAGCAGCCGCGGUAAU
RNAcentral lists this ribosomal RNA (192 nucleotides) under uncultured bacterium. Its description in RNAcentral is "partial 16S ribosomal RNA". It matches the Rfam family "Bacterial small subunit ribosomal RNA", at positions 335 to 524 of the family's 1533-position model. The record is from RNAcentral.